CGAGGUGUGGCGCAGUCCGGUAGCGUGCUUCGUUCGGGACGAAGAGGCCGGAGGUUCAAAUCCUCUCACCUCGACCA
This 77-nucleotide transfer RNA is filed under the name SAR324 cluster bacterium. Its description in RNAcentral is "tRNA-Pro". It matches the Rfam family "tRNA". From Rfam's summary of the family: Transfer RNA (tRNA) molecules are approximately 80 nucleotides in length. Lineage: Bacteria; Deltaproteobacteria. RNAcentral also lists the same sequence under 1 other name. The record is from RNAcentral.